This 500-nucleotide ribosomal RNA is filed under the name Streptomyces sp. 171. RNAcentral describes it as "bacterial SSU rRNA". It matches the Rfam family "Bacterial small subunit ribosomal RNA", at positions 127 to 641 of the family's 1533-position model. Lineage: Bacteria; Bacillati; Actinomycetota; Actinomycetes; Kitasatosporales; Streptomycetaceae. The record is from RNAcentral.
UGCCCUUCACUCUGGGACAAGCCCUGGAAACGGGGUCUAAUACCGGAUAAUACCCUCACGGGCAUCUGUGGGGGUUGAAAGCUCCGGCGGUGAAGGAUGAGCCCGCGGCCUAUCAGCUUGUUGGUGAGGUAAUGGCUCACCAAGGCGACGACGGGUAGCCGGCCUGAGAGGGCGACCGGCCACACUGGGACUGAGACACGGCCCAGACUCCUACGGGAGGCAGCAGUGGGGAAUAUUGCACAAUGGGCGAAAGCCUGAUGCAGCGACGCCGCGUGAGGGAUGACGGCCUUCGGGUUGUAAACCUCUUUCAGCAGGGAAGAAGCGAAAGUGACGGUACCUGCAGAAGAAGCGCCGGCUAACUACGUGCCAGCAGCCGCGGUAAUACGUAGGGCGCAAGCGUUGUCCGGAAUUAUUGGGCGUAAAGAGCUCGUAGGCGGCUUGUCACGUCGGUUGUGAAAGCCCGGGGCUUAACCCCGGGUCUGCAGUCGAUACGGGCUAGC